GAGAACAGUCAGUUCGAGACGAGAUCCCGUCGUGUUACCUUCUCUCUCUCUUUUUCUCUUUGUCUUUUUUGUUCACCUACUCGCUCAUACACACUCAUACAAGCGACGUCGUAACAUUGAGCAAUCCGCGUGGAGGAGAAUCCGAGAUCGACCUCCUUCGUCUUGUCGAUCUUUCUUAAUCGACUUUACGCGUAUUCGUGAGGCUUGUUGGAAUCACCAAAUAGUUCUUCUUACUUAAAUUGAGUUAAACAACGUACGGAGGAAAUACGCCAACGUUACCAAAAUGGCCGCAUACUAAAAAACAUCGGGAGACUAUCGAAGUGGCUCUCCAAUAGCAGAGCUUCGAGUCUUUAAAACGACGACGACAUGACUUGUCAUGACUUUGAACGUUUAUUUUAAAAAGAGAUAGAGGACACCUUGUCCUUUUCUUCUUUCUCUUUUUUCUCUUCUUUGCUUUUUCUUAACAUCGGGUGUUAAUUAUUUCUUAUAUUGCUGCUAAUCUAUCAUAUAAUUUAGGUGGACUUAUUACGAGGUCCAUCUCAUUGAAAGAAGUGGAGCUCGAAAGGCUCGAGUCAAAACGCCCAUGCCGGACUGCGGGAAAAAAUUGCAGGAAAAGAAGAAGAAGAGAAGCAGAAGGAGGUGAAAAAACGAGAAAGGAAGCAAGAAAUAAAAUAAAACGAAUAAUCGUCGCGAUCAUCAUCGUUUAAAAUUCAAAACGAAGAGAGAUCGUGACGUUAACGUAAACAAAAAGAAAAAAAACGUUUCUCCAAAAUGGCGUCAAUUAUCGUCACGCGACUCCUAAUUUUUCUUACUUUGAUAACGUUAUCCUGGAAGAUAGUAAAUUCUCAUGUCGCUUUGACUUUUCCACGAGCGAGAACAUAUGAUUUGGAUUUUCUCGACAAUGGCAGGACACCUGGCCCCUGUGGUAUGCCACGUGGAACCAUUAAGACAACCUUACUUUCCGGAAGUAACUUCAACAUCACGUGGCACCUAUCUUAUCCUCACAGGGGAGGAUUUCGGCUUCAAAUACUUGAUAGCCUCGACAGACCUUUGGUCGAUUUAACACCAGUAACACAACACAGCGAAUUUGUUGAAGACGAUGCAACAGCUCAAAGUUAUCACGUUCAGUUACCUCAAAACUUUACCUGCAUCGACUGCACUAUCAGACUCCUUCGAAAAGCUGAGGAAUGGGGUUUUAGUUACAGGUUCUGGUCAUGUGCAGAUAUCGACAUACUUGAUAAAAAGAUCUACAGGGAAGACUGCAGCGGUCACGGCAGAUACCUUCUGGGUAGAUGUAGAUGCGAUCGUUUCUACCAUGGCGCAAGAUGCGAAUUUAAGGAAGAGUGUCUCGACGAUACGGAUUGCGGUACUCAGGGCACGUGCAUCGACAAUGGUGGUACGACCGCACCCACUAAACUCUGCUACUGUAACAUCGGUUGGUUUGGACCAGGUUGCGCAAAAAGAUCACCGGUAAAAACGGUUGACUUAGAUUUAGAAUCUUAUACGAUGAAACGAUUCUCAGAUGAUGUAACCUUUUACUGGAGGAUUUUAUGGACAAGCAUGGAAUUAGAAGGUGUUCUCGUUGCAAACAGUACCACUUGGAUCGGUGUUGGUUGGAGACCGAGUAACUUAACUCCAGAAUGUCGUGCAUUUCCUGAAAUAAAUGAUCCACCAAAAGAUGAACCACUACCUAAACCUGAGCCUAAAUCCGAACCAGAACCCAAACCAGAAUCAGAAGGAAAAAUCGCGGAAAGUAAAAGCCAAUCGAGUAAAUCUGUUAUGGCUGAACUGGUGGCUGAACCUAAAGCCGAACCAGAACCAGUAGCAGAAACAGAACCACAACUAGAGUCAGAACAUGAUAGCGAAAGGUCUGGUGCUAAAAGGAGAUCAGCUAAAGUAGACGGUACAACGUCCGUGACCUAUCGACCAGAUGAUGUUACUGUACAGACUAGUGUGACUUAUCGCGUUAGCACAAAACAAGGUCGUAAACGUAGAUCAUCCGAAACAAAAACAUCGCUGUCGGACGGUGGGCGCGCAACCAAGUCGGCCGUCAUCAUUGGCACAGAGCCAGAAUCCAUCUCCGAACCGGAACCUCAACCUGUGUCAAAACCCAAAUCUCAACAAGAAUCUAAAUCUAAGUCAGAUUCACCAUCAACGCUUGAACCUAAAUCUGAACCUGAACCUUUAACUGAACCAGAACCCGAACUUAUAUCCGAACCAGAACCAAAGUCUGAGCCCGAGCCCAAAUCUGAACCCGAGCCCAAAUCUGAGCCCGAGCCCAAAUCUGAAACAGAACCUAAAUCCGAACCAGAACCAAAGUCUAAACCUGAGCCUAAGUCCGAACCUGAACCAAAUUCUAAACCAGAGCCAAAAUCUGAACCUGAGCCUAAGUCCGAACCUGAACCCAAAUCUGAACCUGAGCCUAAUUUCGAACCUGAACCCAAAUUUGAACCUAAGCCUAAAUCCGAACCAGAACCAAAUUCUAAACCAGAACCAAAAUCUGAACCGGAACCUACUUCCGAGCCGGAGCCAACUGAACCUAUCUCAGAACCGGAAGCUAAGUCAAUCCUCAAAACGGGAACAACGAAAGCGUCGGUACCAUCAGUGGGACAUAAAUAUACUCCGAAACACGACUUUAAUCCUAUGGAUUGUACGGAUAUAAUAAUCGGUACGGCAAGAGGAAUGGCGCAUAGAAUCGGGGAUUAUUAUACAAGAGAUAGAUCAACGCCUCGUCAAGACAAUUAUUGGGGUGGAAAAGAUAGUUUGACAGCAGCCAUGGGUUUCGAACGAGAUGGUGUCACCACAAUACUCUUCAGAAGGAAACUAGAAACAAACGAAUCCACGGAUCAUGCUUUCCGUGAAGGUAAUAUGCACGUGAUAUGGGCCAAAGGUCAGGAGCCAGGUCAAUACAUUCAUCGUCCACCAAGUGGUGUUGAAAAAUCCAAGGUUUCCGUUAAGGAAUUUUAUAAGGUCGAUGAACUAAAGUAUCACGGACAUAAUUCACAAAGAGGUGUAACAACCAUCGACUUCUUUGAAAACAAUGGCGAAGAAGAGGAAGUUAAUGUACCGUUACCAGGUGGAGGCUGCGGUGGUUCAUGGCAAUAUCCAAGACAUUGUUCAAUUGAAAAUCAUACAUGCGAGUACGCUAUAGAAUGGAACUACAAAGCAAAAAUGGAUCAAAUAUCCUUCGUGAUUUCUACAACGAACACAAGUAGUUGGACUGGAGUUGGAUUUUCUAAGGAUGACAAAAUGACACAAACGGAUGCAGUCCUUGGAUGGGUGGAUAAAACCACUGGUCGGGAGUUCGUCAUGGACACUUGGAUGAGCGGUUACAAUCCUCCCCUAUUAGAUCCUUCCCAAGAUAUUUAUAACACACACGGACGAAUCGAGGAUGGAAUUAUGACAAUACGAUUUUCAAGAAAACGUAUCACAAAGGACACUACUAGAGAUUUCUCAUUUACCGAUGAUAAUUGCCUGUACAUGAUGUAUCCGAUAAAAGGUGGCAAAUUCAAUGCAGUUAACAAAAAGAUUCAAAAACACAGUGCUCCACCAAUGGUUUCACAAAAAAAAAUCUGUAUAAGGCCUUGCGGUGCAGAAGAAAUAGAAGCAAUGACAACACCAGCUCCACCAAGAUUGUAUUACGAUAUUGAAGUUAAGUUAAUUAACCUCGGUGAUGGUUUUGUUCCACCAUUGCGUAAUAGUCCCGAUUUCGAAAUCAUCUCUAACACGAUAACAGAUAGUUUUGGACCGGUUUUCGAAAACCUUCCUGGAUAUUAUCGAAUCUCUCUCGAAGAAUUGAAACAAGAUAAAGAACAAAGUGGAUCAAUAGCGCAUAUUAAAUUAAUUUUGGAUAAGAAUGAAAUCAAAGGCAGAGCUUUAAAUCCAUUGGACACAACAGCAGCUGUAGAAAAGGUAUUAAAAGAAGUUCUCGUUAGUGGCAAAGUUGGUGCUCUUUCCGUUGAUCCUCAGUAUCUAGUCAUCAAAGCACCUCGAAUAAGCGAAGAAAAUGAAGUAAACAAUGAAGACGAUCGAACAUUAAAACCAACGUUCCUGUUAAGCGAAACAAAGUUAUACAUCGUCGUUGGAUGCGUUGCUGCAUUGAUAGCACUAGCUCUUUUACAAGCUAGCUGUACACUUUACAAAUCUUCAAGAAAACGCUCGACCAAGAGGGUCUACUCGCUGCCUCUGGUUUACUCCGACGCGGUCAACCCAAUUCAUCGAACUAACGCGACGCGGUCCCACCGACAAAACGGCGAUGAACAUCAUCACUACAACUACCAUCAUCACCAUCUUCGGCAUCAUCAGCAUGCUCCGAAUGAAAAGCACCGGCCUAAUCCCAGCUGGUAGAUCUCACACUUCAGAUACAAUCGACAUGCAAAAAUAUUCAUCGCUUCCUCGUUUUCUCACUAAUCAAGGAUCGACUGAUAAGCAGUAAUGCAUGGAAAGACUAUUCCUCCGGAGCAAACACUAACUUUGGAUUCGAGUCUUUCGAAACAG
RNAcentral lists this unclassified non-coding RNA (4497 nucleotides) under Polistes dominula (European paper wasp). RNAcentral's name for it is "uncharacterized LOC107068979, transcript variant X1". Lineage: Eukaryota; Metazoa; Arthropoda; Insecta; Hymenoptera; Vespidae. The record is from RNAcentral.